CCUCGAAUCAGGUGGGACUACCCGCUGAACUUAAGCAUAUCAAUAAGCGGAGGAAAAGAAACUAACAAGGAUUCCCCUAGUAACGGCGAGUGAAGCGGGAUGAGCUCAAAUUUAAAAUCUGAUAGUCUUUGGCUGUCCGAGUUGUAAUCUAGAGAAGUGUUUUCCGCGUUGGACCAUGUACAAGUUUCCUGGAACGGAACGUCAUAGAGGGUGAGAAUCCCGUCCUUGACAUGGACUACCAGUGCUUUGUGAUACACUCUCAACGAGUCGAGUUGUUUGGGAUUGCAGCUCAAAAUGGGAGGUAAAUUCCUUCUAAAGCUAAAUAUUGGCGAGAGACCGAUAGCGAACAAGUACCGUGAGGGAAAGAUGAAAAGCACUUUGGAAAGAGAGUUAAACAGUACGUGAAAUUGUUAAAAGGGAAACGAUUGAAGUCAGUCGCGUUUACUUGGACUCAGCCUUACCUCGGUUUGGUGCAUUUCCUUGUGAACGGGCCAGCGUCAAUGUUGUCCGUUGGAAAAGGGUUGGAGAAAUGUGGCUCUUUCGGGUGUGUUAUAGUCUCUGAUCGUAUACAACGGCUGAUAUUGAGUGGUACAGCAUGCUUCGGCGGUGCUUGUGCUGGCAUAAU
RNAcentral lists this ribosomal RNA (625 nucleotides) under uncultured Basidiomycota. RNAcentral describes it as "LSU rRNA". It matches the Rfam family "Eukaryotic large subunit ribosomal RNA", at positions 1 to 635 of the family's 3401-position model. Lineage: Eukaryota; Fungi; Basidiomycota. The record is from RNAcentral.